AUACCGGCAGCUGAGUGGUUUGAGCGCUGGUACGAUAAACCAGAGACCUUGGGUUCGAUUCCCGGUUGGGAUA
This is a non-coding RNA of Paramuricea clavata, 73 nucleotides long. Lineage: Eukaryota; Metazoa; Cnidaria; Anthozoa; Malacalcyonacea; Plexauridae. The record is from the annotation of a GenBank genome assembly.